AUGUAUUUGUACUCAAUUUUGACAGCCGGGUCAAUGGUCAACGUGGUGUUUUCUUGUGAUUAUAUUUUGUGUCUUGAAUUGUUCUAGAGAUGCCAUGUCCUUGUUUUUCAAUUGAGGUGUGUAUAAAGUCAAAAGCCAGGCCCAGGAGUAAUGAUGUGCAGGUAGCGAGUCAGCCGGCCAGCCAGCCCUUAUUGGUGUACAACAACAUAUGAGUCCAGUUAUUCCAUGUGUACCGAGAAAGACAGAGCGGUU
Molecule: long non-coding RNA, 252 nt
Organism: Mya arenaria
Lineage: Eukaryota; Metazoa; Mollusca; Bivalvia; Myida; Myidae
Exons: 3
Source: RefSeq, a predicted model, not a curated record